RNAcentral lists this ribosomal RNA (414 nucleotides) under Parvimonas micra. Its description in RNAcentral is "bacterial SSU rRNA". It matches the Rfam family "Bacterial small subunit ribosomal RNA", at positions 38 to 428 of the family's 1533-position model. The record is from RNAcentral. Lineage: Bacteria; Bacillati; Bacillota; Tissierellia; Tissierellales; Peptoniphilaceae.
GGCGGCGUGCUUAACACAUGCAAGUCGAACGUGAUUUUUGUGGAAAUUCUUUCGGGAAUGGAAAUGAAAUGAAAGUGGCGAACGGGUGAGUAACACGUGAGCAACCUACCUUACACAGGGGGAUAGCCGUUGGAAACGACGAUUAAUACCGCAUGAGACCACAGAAUCGCAUGAUAUAGGGGUCAAAGAUUUAUCGGUGUAAGAAGGGCUCGCGUCUGAUUAGCUAGUUGGAAGGGUAAAGGCCUACCAAGGCGACGAUCAGUAGCCGGUCUGAGAGGAUGAACGGCCACAUUGGAACUGAGACACGGUCCAAACUCCUACGGGAGGCAGCAGUGGGGAAUAUUGCACAAAUGGGGGGAAACCCCUGAUGCAAGCGACCGCCGCGUGAAGCGAAGAAGGUUUUCGAAUUCGUAA